RNAcentral lists this long non-coding RNA (389 nucleotides) under Salmo salar (Atlantic salmon). RNAcentral describes it as "lncRNA (ENSSSAG00000087483.1)". The record is from RNAcentral. Lineage: Eukaryota; Metazoa; Chordata; Actinopteri; Salmoniformes; Salmonidae.
UAUAAAACAUACCUGAAGAACAGGUAGCUGUGUGUUAUUCAUGAUAAUAGCCCGUAGCUGGGUGUUAUUCAUGAUAAUAGCCCGUAGCUGUGUGUUAUUCAUGAUAAUAGCCCGUAGCUGGGUGUUAUUCAUGGUAAUAGCCCGUAGCUGGGUGUUAUUCAUGAUAAUAGCCCGUAGCUGUGUGUUAUUCAUGAUAAUAGCCCGUAGCCGGGUGUUAUUCAUGAUAAUAGCCCCCCGUAGCUGUGUGUUAUUCAUGAUAAUAGCCCGUAGCCGGGUGUUAUUCAUGAUAAUAGCCCGUAGCUGUGUGUUAUUCAUGAUAAUAGCCCCCCGUAGCUGGGUGUUAUUCAUGAUAAUAGCCCGUAGCUGGGUGUUAUUCAUGAUAAUAGCCC